Molecule: ribosomal RNA, 575 nt
Filed under: Lactobacillus sp. DumLac32
Lineage: Bacteria; Bacillati; Bacillota; Bacilli; Lactobacillales; Lactobacillaceae
Description: bacterial SSU rRNA
Rfam family: Bacterial small subunit ribosomal RNA
Source: RNAcentral
CUAAUACAUGCAAGUCGAACGAAACUUUCUUACACCGAAUGCUUGCAUUCACCGUAAGAAGUUGAGUGGCGGACGGGUGAGUAACACGUGGGUAACCUGCCUAAAAGAAGGGGAUAACACUUGGAAACAGGUGCUAAUACCGUAUAUCUCUAAGGAUCGCAUGAUCCUUAGAUGAAAGAUGGUUCUGCUAUCGCUUUUAGAUGGACCCGCGGCGUAUUAACUAGUUGGUGGGGUAACGGCCUACCAAGGUGAUGAUACGUAGCCGAACUGAGAGGUUGAUCGGCCACAUUGGGACUGAGACACGGCCCAAACUCCUACGGGAGGCAGCAGUAGGGAAUCUUCCACAAUGGACGCAAGUCUGAUGGAGCAACGCCGCGUGAGUGAAGAAGGUCNUCGGAUCGUAAAACUCUGUUGUUAGAGAAGAANACGAGUGAGAGUAACUGUUCANUCGAUGACGGNAUCUAACCAGCAAGUCACGGCUAACUACGUGCCAGCAGNCGCGGUAAUACGUAGGUGGCAAGCGUUGUCCGGAUUUAUUGGGCGUAAAGGGAACGCAGGCGGUCNUUUAAGUCUGA